Molecule: ribosomal RNA, 154 nt
Filed under: Barleria taitensis
Lineage: Eukaryota; Viridiplantae; Streptophyta; Magnoliopsida; Lamiales; Acanthaceae
Description: 5.8S ribosomal RNA
Rfam family: 5.8S ribosomal RNA (bases 1-79)
About the family: 5.8S ribosomal RNA (5.8S rRNA) is a component of the large subunit of the eukaryotic ribosome. It is transcribed by RNA polymerase I as part of the 45S precursor that also contains 18S and 28S rRNA.
Source: RNAcentral
AAUCCCGUGAACCAUCGAGUCUUUGAACGCAAGUUGCGCCCGAAGCCUUCGGGCCGAGGGCACGCCUGCCUGGGCGUCACGCAUCGCGUCGCCCCCCGCCCCUGCGGGGAGUGCGGAGAAUGGCCUCCCGUGCGCCCCGGCGCGCGGCCGGCCC